Long non-coding RNA from Mya arenaria, 90 nucleotides. RefSeq lists it as uncharacterized. The record is from RefSeq and is a predicted model, not a curated record. The transcript is spliced from 2 exons. Lineage: Eukaryota; Metazoa; Mollusca; Bivalvia; Myida; Myidae.
GUAAACACUGGUGGUUAACAGCAGACUACAGUGUUAACCAUAUAACGACAAAUAUGGCCAAGUCUAAGAACCACACAAACCACAACCAGA